Molecule: long non-coding RNA, 3465 nt
Organism: Spinacia oleracea (spinach)
Lineage: Eukaryota; Viridiplantae; Streptophyta; Magnoliopsida; Caryophyllales; Amaranthaceae
Exons: 3
Source: RefSeq, a predicted model, not a curated record
AAUCCCGUGCGUUACUCUCCAAUCUCCAUUUCCAAGUGAGCGUUACUGAGGAGAGAGAAAAUCGAGGAGGGGAAAAAUGGAAGGAUGAUCGGUCACUGCUCUCCAGUUAGCUUCAACGCCGCAGUGAAGGCGAGAAGAAGAACUAGGGAUUUCCCAACGCAGUUGCUAUCUAUUCCGCCGCCUCCACCGCCGAGUUUCCCACCUCCGGUCGCUGUCUUUGCAUCUUCUCCUUCCCGCUGCUCUUCUCCAUCUUCGCGAUCCCCUUUCCCCUCAAUUGUCUAGAUCUUAUUUCGGAGACUCCUUAUACAAGUAUGAAUUUAUGCAUUUCUUUUGUUAAUCAUAUCUGAUUUCAAAAUUUUCAUAUAAUACUUCAAUUGAUCGAUUUCAAUUGAUUUUGGAUUAAAUUACAUUAAUUAGCAAGACAUACAUUCAUUCUUAAUUUAUUACCUUAAAUUUGAUUUGGAGUUAACCUUUCUCUCUAUUUCGAAAAACCAGGGACAUGAAAUUGCGAUAUACUUGAUAAUUUCUGAUCUUUAUAGAUAAUGAUUAGUUGUUAUAUGUUGUGGUUUCUUGAUUACUUCCAUGAUUUUGGGUGAAUUUGCUGGAGUUUUGUUUUUGGGUUUAAUGGAACAAUUUGUAAAAAGCUUUGAUCUUUUGAGGUUUGUUGAAAAUUUGUUCUAAUUGCUACAUUGUAUCUGUAUUUGGUUUAAAUUUGAUUGAUUUGGUCCAAAGUACACCUAAUAUUUGUAGUUUGCUUAAUUUGGGUGAAAAUCUAUGUAAUUGGCAAUGCUUGAAGAUCUAGACCGAUAAUUGUAUGUAAAGAGGAGUCAGUGAAAUCUCUAUUAUAAAGAUACACUCCAGGUGUGCGGGUUGGAAUACACGGGUCUAAGAAUAUAGGCUAAUCACCAAUGGGAAUAUAUUUUAGACAAUUUAUUCAUCUUGAAAAUGAAACUUUAGGGUUUUUUUUACAAGUAAUUUUUUCUGUUCAAUUUUCGAUUAUUUCAAGAGUAUUGUAGUUGUGGAUUACCUCUGUUAGAGGGAGUAGCUUCCCCGGUUUAAACAUUUUAGUGCGGGUGUUGGAUUGUGGGAGUUAAUGUUAUACGAAUUCGGACACUAAUGCUUACAAAAGUCAAAGUUAUUUAUAAGACACUGUCACAGAAAUUAGAAUGUUUCUUAAUCUGAACUUCUGCUGACCCCUUAGUAUUGAAUUAUGCUUGGCAUGUCUUGAGCUUCGUUGUAGACCAUGAUGGUCAAGUGUAACAUAAGUGCACAGACAACUUAGAUAUGUCUUUGGUUGCCCCUUAUGGCCUUAUGUGGUUUAACAGGAAAUAGCAAAUAUGAAAGUAUUUAGUUCUUUUUAUAGAGUUUGGAGAUUGUAAUUUUCAUGACUACUUUUUGUUUUGUGGAAAUUUUUUAUUCUUCAAUCGGAUUGUGUUCCCACCAUUUAUAUGACGACCAAUGCCUACUUUCCAACCAUCCCACUUUCAAUAUCUUGCCGUCCUUACAAAUUUCAGAUGCUUAUAAAUUUUUAAUUUUUAUGAAUCUUAAUGUGUCGAUUGAUUUAAAGAUAUGGUUUGAUGGAUUUAAAGAUAUGUCAGAUCGAUGAACUGGAGAUUUGAUGGGUGAUGGAGUACCUAUUGAUUAGUGUUUUGAGAGCACACUCUCUCCCUCUCAACUCCAUCGCCCUUUCUCUCAACUCACAGAACCUCAGCAGAUAAUGCAAGUAUAAGACAAACACAUAGCUUCUUCAAUUCAACUUUAUUAGAAUUUAUCGGUGUUUUUUAAAUUUGUGAUUUGAUUUGAACAUUGUUUGAAUUUGUCGUGUGACUUGAUUGUGAGAUUUUGUGUUUGGUUUCUGAAUUGUAUGCUCAACUGAAUGAGUGUUGGUAUGCUGUAUGUGAGGGUUUGAAAGGGAAAAUCAAGGAGUUGGAGGAGGAGAUGAAGGAAAUGGCGGAGAAAGUAAGACAAACAAAAAUUGCUGCCUGGAUGGUUGACUGGCUGCACUGACUGACUGGAAAAGCACAGCUGCUGCCUGCUGCGAACUGAAACCCACCAGAACUACAUCAGAAAGACCCUGCAGAACCUGCUCAAAAGCAAAAGCCACUAGACCAUGUUGCUGCCACUUGACUACAUACAACAGAGAACCCAUAAACAGCCUGCUAAAAGCCAACAACACAGGCCAAACCACAACAGGUAACCAACAACCAACAGAAAGAGAACAACAAACAACCAAGAUUAAGGCACUAAGACACAAAGUUUGGGAUUAUGGAGGCAUCUGAUCAUGCGUCCUUGCUGAGAUAAUUGAUCGCAUUGCUUCCCUCAAGUAAUUCCUAUUCAAUUUCUCAAUUUCAAUUUUGAGGAUUGAGAUGAGUUUUUCCAAUUUGGUACUGUGAGGAUGAUCUAACCCACAGGCCCGUCUAAUGGCUCUUUUAUACGGGUAAAGAUAGAGAUUGGGAAAAAAGAUGUCUGGAGGAGGAAAUGUUGGUUGUGGAAAUGCUGGUGGCAGAAAUAACACAGUAAACACAGUUGCGGUCCAAGAAGUGAAGUCACAUCCUAUUAUGAAGACCAAUCUGCAACAACACCAAUGAAGAAUUUUAUCAAUGACGGGUUUCUAGGUGCUUCUUGCUCAACCGUUCCAAACUUCAGUAACCGAGGAACUAUUGGUAUAUUCUCUACUGCUCCUAUGAUCUGCUAAUUUUAUCCUUUAAUGAUACUUUAUCACGCUCUCUUGAACCAUGUUUGUUGGUCUUAUGUUGCAAAUUUGGAUUAUUUUGUUUAGUUCAAGUAAAAAGUCAUUGUUGAAUGCUUUCUUGAAUGAUUGAGUGAUGUUACCACCGCUUACCUAUGGAAUUUGAGUGUUUUUUGUAUGAUUGAGUUAAGUUUUGCAUAUGCAGUGAAGAAUGAGAUAACAUUGUGUUAUUUGAAUCGUUUGUGCAAAAGUAUAACCGAUAUUGUGUUUUUUUUAGUCCAAUAGAGUUUUAUUUCCCCAACUGAUAGGAAAUGGUGUUAUUUAUAUUUCUUUGAGUACUUGAUUUAAUUUGCACAGGUUUAAUUUUUCUGAAUUUUUGGUGAUUAUUUUCUGAUUUUAUGAGUUCAUUGAUCAUUUUUGAAUUUUUGAAAUUUUCUGAUUUUUUCGAGUUCGAUCAAAAGGGGAGACGCAUCAAGGAGUAGAAUCAAAAAUCCGGGAAAAAACAUCUACGAGAGAAGAAAUUAAGUAAUAUCAUACAAAUUUUGAAUUGUUUUAGUUGUUUUUACUUUUAGUACUGAAUUUGAGUAAAUUGUGUUCAUUUCUUAUUUUAUGGAAAAUCGCCAUGAAUUAUGUAUUUUGGUCUGGUUCGUGACAAUAUAUCCAUCUAUCAUUGUACUUUGUGUAUAAGCUCGCACGCAUCGCGUGCAUAUAAGACUAGUGUACUUAUAUGUGAAGUAAGAUGUACUUUUAUAUAUAGUAAUGUGUUUUUGGUCUUA